CGAACGGGUGAGUAACACGUGGGUGACCUGCCCUCCACUCUGGGAUAAGCCUUGGAAACGGGGUCUAAUACCGGAUAUGACUACAUGUCGCAUGGUGUGUGGUGGAAAGCGUUUAGUGGUGGGGGAUGGACCCGCGGCCUAUCAGCUUGUUGGUGGGGUAGUGGCCUACCAAGGCGACGACGGGUAGCCGGCCUGAGAGGGCGAUCGGCCACACUGGGACUGAGACACGGCCCAG
This 235-nucleotide ribosomal RNA is filed under the name uncultured bacterium. RNAcentral describes it as "partial 16S ribosomal RNA". It matches the Rfam family "Bacterial small subunit ribosomal RNA", at positions 99 to 334 of the family's 1533-position model. The record is from RNAcentral.